This 1397-nucleotide ribosomal RNA is filed under the name uncultured bacterium. RNAcentral's name for it is "16S ribosomal RNA". It matches the Rfam family "Bacterial small subunit ribosomal RNA". The record is from RNAcentral.
UUAGAGUUUGAUUCUGGCUCAGGAUGAACGCUAGCGGCAGGCUUAACACAUGCAAGUCGAGGGGCAGCGAGAGUGAUAGCAAUAUUACUUGUCGGCGACCGGCGCACGUGUGCGUAACGCGUAUGCAACCUACCAUCAACAGGGGGAUAACACUGAGAAAUCGGUACUAAUACCCCAUAAUAUCUCAUGCGGCAUCGCAUGGGGUUGAAAACUCCGGUGGUUGAUGAUGGGCAUGCGUUGUAUUAGCUGGUUGGUGAGGUAACGGCUCACCAAGGCGACGAUACAUAGGGGGACUGAGAGGUUAACCCCCCACAUUGGUACUGAGACACGGACCAAACUCCUACGGGAGGCAGCAGUGAGGAAUAUUGGUCAAUGGACGCAAGUCUGAACCAGCCAUGCCGCGUGCAGGAUGACGGCUCUAUGAGUUGUAAACUGCUUUUGUACGAGGGUAAACCCCGAUACGUGUAUCGGGUUGAAAGUAUCGUACGAAUAAGGAUCGGCUAACUCCGUGCCAGCAGCCGCGGUAAUACGGAGGAUCCGAGCGUUAUCCGGAUUUAUUGGGUUUAAAGGGUGCGUAGGCGGUUUGAUAAGUUAGAGGUGAAAUGUCGGGGCUCAACCCCGAAACUGCCUCUAAUACUGUUGGACUAGAGAAUAGUUGCGGUAGGCGGAAUGUAUGGUGUAGCGGUGAAAUGCUUAGAGAUCAUACAGAACACCGAUUGCGAAGGCAGCUUACCAAACUAUAUCCGACGUUGAGGCACGAAAGCGUGGGUAGCAAACAGGAUUAGAUACCCUGGUAGUCCACGCAGUAAACGAUGAUAACUCGUUGUCGGCGAUACACAGUCGGUGACUAAGCGAAAGCGAUAAGUUAUCCACCUGGGGAGUACGUUCGCAAGAAUGAAACUCAAAGGAAUUGACGGGGGCCCGCACAAGCGGAGGAACAUGUGGUUUAAUUCGAUGAUACGCGAGGAACCUUACCCGGGCUUGAAAGUUAGCGACGACGCUUGAAAGAGCGUUUCCCUUCGGGGCGCGAAACUAGGUGCUGCAUGGUUGUCGUCAGCUCGUGCCGUGAGGUGUCGGGUUAAGUCCCAUAACGAGCGCAACCCCUACUGUUAGUUGCCAUCAGGUGAUGCUGGGCACUCUAGCGGGACUGCCGGUGUAAGCCGAGAGGAAGGUGGGGAUGACGUCAAAUCAGCACGGCCCUUACGUCCGGGGCCACACACGUGUUACAAUGGUAGGUACAGAGGGCAGCUACCCUGCGAAGGGGUGCGAAUCUCGAAAGCCUAUCUCAGUUCGGAUUGUAGUCUGCAACCCGACUACAUGAAGCCGGAAUCGCUAGUAAUCGCGAAUCAGAAUGUCGCGGUGAAUACAUUCCCGGGUCUUGCACACACCGCCCGUCA